UCAGAAUCCAGUGUGAGGAGACUCCUGGUUCUUGAUUAGCUCCUCCAUUUCCGCUCCUGUAACUCCUAGAGGUGCUGCGAGAGGCUCGCAGGGUCCUGCCUGCUGUGUCACCUGGGCAGCCCCCUGAGACACGAGCUCUCUGCAGAGGGCCCGCCCUCUGUUAGGGGCCUGAUGAGUUUUGUGGGGGCUUUGGCAGCACCCGGGACUGAACCCAGGCAGGCCUUUCCGACUGAGCUACAUCCCUGUCCCUUCCCAGGUUCGAGACGGUCUUGCUCAGUUGUCCAGGCUAGGCUGCCAUUUGCUAUCCUCCUGCCUCAGCCUCCCAGAGUGCUGGGAAUAUGAAUAUGUGCCAAAGCCCAGCCUGAUACUUCAUGUGAAUGCCUAGGUGAGCCCAUGUGCUCCUCCCGUCUACGUUGUAAGACACAGCUUUUGUGGGCGCCUCUUUGCUCUUGUCUGGGUGGAACUGCAAACAGGACAAGGAAGGGAUCCUUGUGGUGUAAGGCCCUUGCCACUGCUCUAGGGCUCUGAUCCCAGGCCACCCCUCUCAGGGAAAGGACCGGGUAGGCAGGUGGGCAGGCCCUGCUCUGGCAUGGUCACAUCAGUGCAGGUCCUCCUGGGUGCCACCUCUGCUCUGCCAGGCUCUGGGCAGGGUGGACUGUACUUCAUCAGUCCCCUUCCCAGUCAGGCAGGGAGCUGGAGCCAGAGCAGGAGGACCACACCGCCUCCCCUUCUCUGCCCUGCACCUGUUUGGGGUAGGGGGGGCAGGUGCUGGCGGACAGACUGACGCUCCACACACAUCUGCUCCUGUUUCGCUGUGCUCUCCAGUCUGUCACAAGCCCAGGAUAGGAACCAUGCCAGGAGCCAGACAGGAUGCUUCCCACUUCUCACCUGCUUGGCCUCGGUCUGCUCUGGCUGACAGGAGGGGCCUGAGGGGAGGCAGGGAGAUGCUAACCCCGUCCAGCUGUCCCCACCUACCCAGCUGUCCCUGGCUUUGUUGAAGCAGCUGUCACCCACCUUCCAAAAAAGUCUGUCAGAGGAGGCCCAAGAGGAGUUGGGGCUGCUCCCCGGCCCUCCCCUGCCAGAAUGGCCCCUGCUCGUCCCCUUCCAGGCAGGGCUGGUGCCCACAGUGUCCCCAUCCCACGGCCCAGAUGUGCGAGCCGCGGGAGAGGAGGCCUUGGCUGAGCCAGCGGUCCCAGGUCGCAGCUGGGGGGGGGCAACCCAGCGUCCAGAGGAAAGGGACCGUCGGUGGGCGGGACGCGGGAGACUGCACCGCCCUCCGUCCUGGGCCGGCCUGUACCCUACUUCCGGGCUGUCAGGGCCAGGCCCGCUCACACCCACGACCACGCACCCACGCACGCAGACCCUGUCCCUGCCAGGGCGCACACCCGGCGCGGCCUACUUUAUGGGGUGUGCAUCGGCAGGGGAGGGCGUCGGACCCCUGGGCCCUGCCGUGAAGGUCGGGGGAGGAACUGCGAUCCUGGGCAGCACUGAGCGGACCCACAGGAGGACUUUAUUCCGGACAAGAGGGACUUCCAGGCAGGGAGCCAGGGGACCUCAGUCAAGCUGCUUCUUAGCUGUGUACUUCGUGGCAAGUGUCUCAGUGUUCUCAUCUGGGAGCAAGGGGCAGUAAAGGCCCAAGGUAGGAACAAGCACCUGCUCCCCUAAUGCUAAGGGGAGCAGUUUGCCCUGCCCUGAACCUUGGGUCUCAGCUAUCCCAGCAAAGCCCCUCACUUGCUCUAGGCAGUUCUGUCAUUAAUAUUUCAUUUCUUCGAAGGACCUUUGUCCCCACUGCACUGCUUGCUGUUCACACUAAGAAACCUCUGGUCUUUUUUAGUACCUGGGACCUUGCACUUUCGAGGCAGGCAUGGUGCCACUGAGCUAAAUCCGCAGCCCUCUCUGUGUCCUUUUGUGCAUAAUUCCUUCACUCUUUUUCUGAGAGCAAAGCCUUAGAAUAAAAAGGGAAAAAAGUAUCGUGGGACUCAGCCAACAGACCUUGGCUUAAAUUCUUCCUCUGUCUCACUUUUCCGAAGUGAUCUUGGCCAUGUGAUUCAGAUUCUGGGAACCUUUCCUCCCCUCCAGCUUGGUGGCAAUACUGGCGGUCACCGAAGCCCUGGAAAGGGUUAAACAGGAGAAGGGCCUGUCCGGCACAGGUGGACCCCUCGCCUUUCCGGAAGGGAAGCGCGGGAUGGCUGCGUCACCCGUUCUCGUCCGCCUGCGCCCUGGCUCUGCACACGCGCCGCCCCGCCCGCCCCACACCGUGCGCCGGGAUCGUCCGGGAUCCUCGGCGGCAGCGGGAGCGCCCUUCUGUCCUCCCGCCUGCUCCCUCCCGGUGACUGCCACCUCUCCGUUCCGAAGUGUUGGAAAUUACAGAACAGACUGCAGUUAAGGGGGCUGCAGAGGGGAACGGGGCCCUAAAAUGCGGCCCGACUGAGCACGAAGCAGUGUUUUUGCCUGGAGCCAGGCGGGAGGCGCUGACGAGUCUGUACCCACUUCACCCCCAAUGUAACUGCGGGCAGUGCGGCCGGGUGGGCUGCUGCGAGGGCUGCCUGUAGGCCUGCACCGGCCCCUUGUUUGUUGCUUUGAAAGUCAAAGGGCCACAGAUGGAGAGGAGAGGCUUGAAGCCCGGGGAGGUCUGGACUUCAGACUUCCUGCUUGCUCUGUGCACACAGUCUUCUCUAAGCCUCCGGACAGCCAGGAGACGACCGUCACAGAUGCGGGAACCAAGGCACUGAGCGACCCACUGCGCACACAACUGCCUGGACCCGGGGAUUUCAGCCCCGAGUCCUCUUUCAGAUCUCCCUGCCUCUGCAGUCCCAUUUCACGGAUGAAGCGGAACAGCGCGAGCACCUUGGGAGAGAGAAACUCGCCCAGGUCACCGAGCUGAUUCAUGGGUGAGCCAGGAGUGGCCAUGGGUCUCUCUGGCCCCAGAGAAUCAGUGUUUUCCCUGCCCUUUACCAAGUCUUGGGUAGGAGUGCCAGAUUCACUGAAACAAAAACAAAAACCAGGAUGGCCCGUUAAACUUGAAUUUCGGAUAAGCAAUGAGUUUUCUCGAGUAUUACAGUGAUGUCCCAGGGGCAGGGGACUUAGCUCAGUGAAAGCACAAGGUCCUGAGUUCAAUCCCCUGUGUGUGUGUGUGUGUGUGUGUGUGUGUGUGUGUGUAUAGAUAGAUAGUGUCCCAGCCAGGUGUGGUGGUGCACGCAUGUAGUCCCAGCACUUCGGAGGCUGAGGAGGAGAAUGGCCAAAAGUUCAAGUCAGCCUGGGCUUCAUAGUGAAUUCAAGGACAGCCUGGACUACGUAGCAUAGCGAGACCAUGUCUCAAUAAAUAAAUAAAUAACACGAUUCCCAAAUAUUGCAAGGGGAAUGUUUAAGUUAUAAACUGCUCACUGUUUAUCUGCAACUCAGGUGGAACUGAAUGUCCUGUCAUUCUCCAGCCCCACACCCCACCUUGUCCUUUAAGCAGAGGGCACCCUGGGAUGGGCAGAGCCGCGGUGUUGCUGAGCUUCUGGAAAGGUGGUGGAGCUCUCUGUGCCACGCUGUUCCCUCCCUGUCCCUGGACUUCGGGGAAACCCUAGGAGAACACCUGGGACCAGGUGCUGACCGGAAGCUCCUGCCAGCUGGGCUGGACCUGUACCAAGGAGGCUAUGGAAGCUAUGGCUGUGUGGCUGCAGUGGGCACAGACGCACCCAACACACGGACGGGAACCCCGGGACAGUGCGGGUCAGAUGCUUGGUGUGCAGGGACGUAGGAGGGUGAGCACAGGACUUGGGGGGCUGAGACUGUGUGGUGGCCAUUCCACAGCCUUGUUUUGGCUGUGUAUGGGCACUGGGGAAUCAAACCCUGGGGGGAUCUACCACUGAGCUCCAUCCCUAGCUCUUUUUUUUUGGUAUUGGGGAUCUAACUUGGUACCUUGUGCUUGCGAGGCAGGUGGCAGAACCACUGAGCUAAACCAACCCCUGGCCCUCCCUG
This is a long non-coding RNA of Fukomys damarensis (Damara mole-rat), 3966 nucleotides long. NCBI's taxonomy places the organism in Eukaryota, Metazoa, Chordata, Mammalia, Rodentia, Bathyergidae. The record is from Ensembl.